UACGUAGGGGGCGAGCGUUGUCCGGAAUUACUGGGCGUAAAGCGCGCGCAGGUGGCUUGUUAAGUCAGGUGUCAAAAUGCGGGGCUCAACCCCGUACCGCACUUGAAACUGGCAGGCUUGAGUGCAGGAGAGGGAAGUGGAAUUCCUAGUGUAGCGGUGAAAUGCGUAGAUAUUAGGAGGAACACCAGUGGCGAAGGCGACUUCCUGGACUGUAACUGACACUGAGGCGCGAAAGCUAGGGGAGC
This 245-nucleotide ribosomal RNA is filed under the name uncultured Eubacteriales bacterium. RNAcentral's name for it is "uncultured Clostridiales bacterium partial 16S ribosomal RNA". It matches the Rfam family "Bacterial small subunit ribosomal RNA", at positions 524 to 769 of the family's 1533-position model. Lineage: Bacteria; Bacillati; Bacillota; Clostridia; Eubacteriales. The record is from RNAcentral.